This 472-nucleotide ribosomal RNA is filed under the name uncultured bacterium. RNAcentral's name for it is "bacterial SSU rRNA". It matches the Rfam family "Bacterial small subunit ribosomal RNA", at positions 335 to 799 of the family's 1533-position model. The record is from RNAcentral.
ACUCCUACGGGAGGCAGCAGUAGGGAAUCUUCCACAAUGGACGAAAGUCUGAUGGAGCAACGCCGCGUGAGUGAAGAAGGGUUUCGGCUCGUAAAACUCUGUUGUUAAAGAAGAACAUAUCUGAGAGUAACUGUUCAGGUAUUGACGGUAUUUAACCAGAAAGCCACGGCUAACUACGUGCCAGCAGCCGCGGUAAUACGUAGGUGGCAAGCGUUGUCCGGAUUUAUUGGGCGUAAAGCGAGCGCAGGCGGUUUUUAAGUCUGAUGUGAAAGCCUUCGGCUCAACCGAAGAAGUGCAUCGGAAACUGGGAAACUUGAGUGCAGAAGAGGACAGUGGAACUCCAUGUGUAGCGGUGAAAUGCGUAGAUAUAUGGAAGAACACCAGUGGCGAAGGCGGCUGUCUGGUCUGUAACUGACGCUGAGGCUCGAAAGUAUGGGUAGCAAACAGGAUUAGAUACCCUGGUAGCACGAUG